GCCUGGCUGGCUCAGUCGGUAGAGCAUGUGGCUCUCAAUCUUAGGGUUGUGAGUUUGAGCCCCAUGUUGGGUG
Molecule: transfer RNA, 73 nt
Filed under: Felis catus (domestic cat)
Lineage: Eukaryota; Metazoa; Chordata; Mammalia; Carnivora; Felidae
Rfam family: tRNA
About the family: Transfer RNA (tRNA) molecules are approximately 80 nucleotides in length. Their secondary structure includes four short double-helical elements and three loops (D, anti-codon, and T loops).
Source: Rfam by way of RNAcentral